AAAAUCUGACAGGACUGAGAGAAGAGUAUAACAGCACAGCGGGGUUUCAGAAGCCCAUCAGAGUGAAUUUCUGAGUUCUUUCACAUAUGCUGUAUGGUCAGCGAAUGGAUGGAUUAUCCAGUCACGGUACAUAAUGAAAGACUUGACUGAGUUAGAAGAAGCUGAGCGACUCUUCAGA
This is a non-coding RNA of Misgurnus anguillicaudatus (oriental weatherfish), 178 nucleotides long. The record is from RefSeq and is a predicted model, not a curated record. NCBI's taxonomy places the organism in Eukaryota, Metazoa, Chordata, Actinopteri, Cypriniformes, Cobitidae.